This is a long non-coding RNA of Vidua macroura (Pin-tailed whydah), 205 nucleotides long. RefSeq lists it as uncharacterized. The record is from RefSeq and is a predicted model, not a curated record. NCBI's taxonomy places the organism in Eukaryota, Metazoa, Chordata, Aves, Passeriformes, Viduidae. The transcript has 3 exons.
UCCCCAUGUCCCCGAGGUGUCCCCAUGUGCUGUCCAUGGUGUCCUGGAUCCAGGACACGAACUCGCACACCUUGCUGUGACCCUGGUGUCCCCAUGUCUGUGUCCCCAUGUCCCCGAGGUGUCCCCAUGUGCUGUCCAUGGUGUCCUGGAUCCAGGACACGAACUCGCACACCUUGGUGUGACCCUGGUGUGACCCUGGUGUCCC